AAUAGAUACCCAGGUAGUCCACGCCGUAAACGAUGAGUGCUAAGUGUUAGAGGGUUUCCGCCCUUUAGUGCUGCAGCAAACGCAUUAAGCACUCCGCCUGGGGAGUACGGUCGCAAGACUGAAACUCAAAGGAAUUGACGGGGGCCCGCACAAGCGGUGGAGCAUGUGGUUUAAUUCGAAGCAACGCGAAGAACCUUACCAGGUCUUGACAUCCUCUGACAACCCUAGAGAUAGGGCUUCCCCUUCGGGGGCAGAGUGACAGGUGGUGCAUGGUUGUCGUCAGCUCGUGUCGUGAGAUGUUGGGUUAAGUCCCGCAACGAGCGCAACCCUUGAUCUUAGUUGCCAGCAUUCAGUUGGACACUCUAAGGUGACUGCCGGUGACAAACCGGAGGAAGGUGGGGAUGACGUCAAAUCAUCAUGCCCCUUAUGACCUGGGCUACACACGUGCUACAAUGGGCAGAACAAAGGGCAGCGAAGCCGCGAGGCUAAGCCAAUCCCGCAAAUCUGUUCUCAGUUCGGAUCGC
Molecule: ribosomal RNA, 524 nt
Filed under: uncultured bacterium
Lineage: Bacteria
Description: bacterial SSU rRNA
Rfam family: Bacterial small subunit ribosomal RNA
Source: RNAcentral